CUCUGCAUUAUGCUCUCUAAAAGUGGCUGACUGUGCAGGAUGCUAGCGACAGUGGUGACUAAAAUCCAAGGUUCCAUUCCCAGAACAAGUUGCAGGCCAGCUGCAAACGAUCAUAUAGCCACAUUAAGAAGUUAGACAGUUUCAAACUGGUCAGAGUUCUGAAGGAAAGGACGAUGGUUCUGCUCGCGACUAAUUCAGAAGAGCCUGGUGUUUCCUGAGGAAAGUCUGAGAUUGGAAGGCUGGGGAAAAGUUAACAGUCACCUUGGAGUUUUGUGUUCCAGCUGCUGCAUCUCAGUGCGGAUGGCCUGCCUUCCACUUCAUUUCAGAACUCACUUCCAUGGCCCCACACUAGGCUGUUAAGACAGCUUCCUGGUCCAGGCCUGAACCCUUAAACUCCAACAUCUUACCC
Molecule: long non-coding RNA, 409 nt
Filed under: Homo sapiens (human)
Lineage: Eukaryota; Metazoa; Chordata; Mammalia; Primates; Hominidae
Description: LHRI_LNC592.1
Source: RNAcentral